UGGGGAAUUUUGGACAAUGGGGGAAACCCUGAUCCAGCCAUCCCGCGUGUGCGAUGAAGGCCUUCGGGUUGUAAAGCACUUUUGGCAGGAAAGAAACGUCAUGGGUUAAUACCCCGUGAAACUGACGGUAUCUGCAGAAUAAGCACCGGCUAACUACGUGCCAGCAGCCGCGGUAAUACGUAGGGUGCAAGCGUUAAUCGGAAUUACUGGGCGUAAAGCGUGCGCAGGCGGUUCGGAAAGAAAGAUGUGAAAUCCCAGAGCUCAACUUUGGAACUGCAUUUUUAACUACCGGGCUAGGGUGUGUCAGAGGGAGGUGGAUUUCCGCGUGUAGCAGUAAAAUGCGUAGAUAUGAGGGGGAACACCGAUGGCGAAGGCAGCCUCCUGGGAUAACACUGACGCUCAUGCACGAAAGCGUGGGGAGCAAACAGG
Molecule: ribosomal RNA, 429 nt
Filed under: Acidobacteriota bacterium
Lineage: Bacteria; Pseudomonadati; Acidobacteriota
Description: Acidobacteria bacterium partial 16S ribosomal RNA
Rfam family: Bacterial small subunit ribosomal RNA
Source: RNAcentral